CCCUUAGAUGUUCUGGGCCGCACGCGCGCUACACUGAUGCAUUCAACGAGCCUAUCCUUGACCGACAGGUCCGGGUAAUCUUUGAAUCUGCAUCGUGACGGGGAUAGAUUAUUGCAAUUAUUAAUCUUCAACGAGGAAUGCCUAGUAGGCGCAAGUCAUCAGCUUGCGUCGAUUACGUCCCUGCCCUUUGUACACACCGCCCGUCGCUCCUACCGAUUGGGUGUGCUGGUGAAAUGUUCGGAUCGGCCGUUUGUCGCGGUUUCCGCGUCAUGUGGCUGAGAAGUUCAUUAAACCCGACCACCUAGAGGAAGGAGAAGUCGUAACA
Molecule: ribosomal RNA, 325 nt
Filed under: uncultured eukaryote
Lineage: Eukaryota
Description: partial 18S ribosomal RNA
Rfam family: Eukaryotic small subunit ribosomal RNA
Source: RNAcentral